UCCAGCUAGAGUACUAGAGGUGGUAGCUGGCGGUAGAGGGAGAACAGGGAGGGAGUCCUAGACAUGAGAGGUGCCCGUGUUCCAUCGCAGAGAUUCAGGGGGACAUUAACCAAGAUCCUUGCAAUACCACCGAGUGGACCAAUGUUCCCAAGGCAGUUGAUCUGCCAAACAAACACACCUCUGCCUCUGACAGCUUCUCCCUGUGCUGACCACCGAUGGACCGUACACAUGAGAGCUGCCGUUGAUGGGCUCAGGGAGAAAGACAUCCUGAGCGGGUGGAUGGGACAUACAGCUCUACCACCAGUGUCAUGACUGUGUCAUUAGCUGCCACAGCUAAACUAAUUUACUAAUGUUUAUUGCACCAUAUAGUAUGUGUUUUCUUUUUCUCCAUACAAGAUCUAAGCUCCUUCCUGGUUGGCCCUGUCCGUUGAACAGCACCAGUGUCUCACAACCCCUCUGUCUCAGUCACCAGUAAUUAUGCUGCAAUAGUUUGUGCUGGGGGCUAGGGUCAUCUUUUCUUAUCUGGUGUACUGUGUGUACUUAGGCAUGCUCUCACUAAUCCCCCCCAUUUGUCAACAACAGCUUCAACACAUCAUAGCAACAUGCUUUACUGAAAAUCUUUAAACAUGUAUAUAGACUUCAGUGGAGGCUGCUGAGGGGAGGAUGGCUCAUAAAAAUGGCUGGAAUGGUAGCAAAUGUGAUUUCCAUGUGGUUGAUACCAUUUCAUUGAAUCCAUUACUGUGAGCCGUCCUCCCCUCAACAGCCUCCACUGAUAGACUUUAUGGGGGUGAUGCUGUUGCCCAUCAAAUGUCAUAUAUUAUGCCAAUAUGUCAAAGUUCUCAAUUAGGAAGAUGAUGUUCAGAAUGACAUGUUCAUGACUGUUGAUGUUCACAGGACUCUCCAAUGCUAUGUUGAACGAGCACCACAGAUGGAGGGGGAGGAAAACAGAUCGCUUCUCUCUACCACACCUUCACCAAGUCAUCCAAUUUUUGCUUCAUUUUCUAAAAUAAAUACAGAAUUCAUUUUG
Molecule: long non-coding RNA, 1027 nt
Organism: Salvelinus namaycush (lake trout)
Lineage: Eukaryota; Metazoa; Chordata; Actinopteri; Salmoniformes; Salmonidae
Exons: 3
Source: RefSeq, a predicted model, not a curated record